This is a long non-coding RNA of Gadus chalcogrammus (walleye pollock), 2514 nucleotides long. RefSeq lists it as uncharacterized. Lineage: Eukaryota; Metazoa; Chordata; Actinopteri; Gadiformes; Gadidae. The transcript has 2 exons. The record is from RefSeq and is a predicted model, not a curated record.
ACGUAUCAGAUAUUAAACUGAUAAGAACAGAUACUACACUUGAUCUUAGCCAAAAGGCCGAGAAGCGAUGCCUCCACAGGCUCAGACCAAGAGGCCAGCUUCCCAGACACGUCGCUCCACUUGGCGGUUUAACAGACAACGACAAAACAAAAAAAAGACCAAGCACCCUGUCAGCGUGUUUGUGUGUAUGUGAAAGCUGAAGAAAUAAACCGAGGUCGCUACAUCUCUUUGCUGCUGCCUGCUGGCAGUCUCACUAGGCCGUCUGCAUGUUUCACAAAUAGAGUUUGGAGCAGUGGAGGCUUCUAUAAGACUACAGGUGAAGCAGUGCUUCACCAAAAAAAUGUUAAAAAAUAAAUAAACCAAAAAUCUUACAACAAUCCCAUUUUCAGUGCUUUGAAACAGAAAUACUCACGAAGACGAGCUGUUUUCCUGAAAUCAAUUAUGUGAGUCACAACAGCGCCACUAUUCCCAUUGACUUCAAUGUAAAUCGAGUGAACCCCAGGCGGCUCGUGUUUAUUUUCCGUUUCAAUUGAUCCUUAUGGCAGAUAAGUCCCACCCGUGAACCAGUGACCGAUAGGGUAGAAUUUUGCACUUCAGUCACUUGACACAACACUCUGGCCAGUCACCGCCUUCAUUGGACAGCUAUCGUGAACUGACUACGAGUGAAAGCAGAGGGCAGACCAAAACCUACUGUGAAAACCACACAGCUCGUUGGUGCUACGUUGGGGAUGUCAACACGAGGACUUGGCAAGGAAAUACUAUGAAAUGCGUCAUCGCCUCUCACACACGAAUGUCAUGGUAGGAACAGCUGGAUUCAGGAUUUCACCCCUGCAUUGGGGCCUCACCUGAUGGAUACGUUUCCUGUAGCUGCUGUGGUUCAGGUGUCAUAGAAAUUAAGUGCCCAUUUUCUGCAAAGGACCUUUCUGUUAAUUAGGCAGUAAAGUGUUUUUCUGCACAGAAACCAGCACCAGCAGCAGCAGCAUUUGCUGAUCAUAGUCAACAACAGUGGUGCUACUGCCCUGAGCCAGAAGCAGGGAACAUGGUGGUCUGUGCGUCAGGUUUUUGUUCAGUUAAAAAGUUUCACCAGACCUGCCUUCGCAUGAAAAGGGUCCCAAAACAGUGGGUAUGUCCCAUCUGCCGAAAAGUGAUCAAUGCCCAAAGAAGAAAACCUUAGUGAGGAGACUGUGAAAUGAGUUGUUUGUAGUAGCUGAUACUGUACUGUUAUUUAUGAAUAAACAGUUGUUAAACCAAUAUUGUUCUCUUCCCCAUAAUUUGUAUUAGAUAUCUGUAGCAAUCAGGGAUAUGAAACAUGGGUGGGUCAUUCAUAUAAAACACACCAGAACAAAUAUCUGUUUGGGUGGAACUCAAGUUAGAAUGGGUGGAUGUGCAGCUUGAUCUGCAAAGAGAAACGAUGUGAUCGCAUCAGAAUAGCGAGUGAUUAAAAAUAAUGUCACGACAAGCAAGCAAGAAGUGUGAGUCACAAAGGUUUAUUUGCUGGUUGAGCACAUCUGUAGCCAGUCACAUCAGUUCAAUUUACUGUACAUCCCCAUCACUGGAAGGACACCACAGAUUCAGACACAUUUGUAAGUGCACAACACACGCUCACCGUCUUGUCAAGGUAGGCCACAUCAUUUUCCCUGUCUAUGUCCGUGAAACAUAUGGGGACAGUGCUUUGCAAGACUGUGUACUUUGGACGGAGAACUCCUAUCACUCUUUCAAUAUGUAUCCUAAGAGAGGCUAGACGUCUGGUGUUCUCCAAGUCAGCAGGAUCUAACUGCUUCUAUCCACGAGUAAAUGCUGGAAUUUUUAAUUCAGCUUGGCAUCUCUCAAUGGACUCUUUAACCAGACAACCUCUGUCCGCUAAAACUACGUCCCCUGGGAGCAAAUGAGAUAAAAAGUGACUUUGUUCUGUGAUAAACGUAUCACUUGUGCGACCUCCCCAUCCAGCGGAAAUGAAACAAAUGGAACCUCGAGGGCAAAUUGCAAUUAAAUAUUUCAUUGUGUGGUGUGAUUUGUAUGAUGAGUAACACUGAGCACUGGCUAGCAAUCUACUGGGUUUCUCUAGAAAUAUUUCAAAACAAUCUAUAAUGCAAACUGUCUUUUCAAAGCUACGGUUUCGAAAUGCAUAUGGAAGAGAUUUUCUUAAGUAUUCUCUGUCAGGCCACAACACCAGACUUGGCACCAGUCUACAAUGCAUCACACUAAUGCAGUGUUUGAAGAGCUUUGAAACAGUGGUUGAGUCAAUGUCAAAAUAAAAAGCCAAAAACUCAAAGGACAAGUUCAUUCUAAGCUUAAUUAAAGUUAACAUGUACUGCUGAAAACAUGUUAAACUAGAUUUAAGUUGGAGAAAAGGAGCCACAAUAUGAAAAAUUGUCAUGAGAAUGGAGAAUGCUGAUAAACCAGUGAGAGUAUGAACCCUUUUAUCAUCGUUAUGCAAGCUCAUCUCAUUCAGUGUAGUCCUAUUCAUUUUUUCCUUCAACAACAUAUUUUCAGUCCUCAGAGCUUGGCAUUCUU